Molecule: ribosomal RNA, 253 nt
Filed under: uncultured bacterium
Lineage: Bacteria
Description: partial 16S ribosomal RNA
Rfam family: Bacterial small subunit ribosomal RNA
Source: RNAcentral
UACGAAGGGGGCUAGCGUUGCUCGGAAUCACUGGGCUUAAAGGGCGCGUAGGCGGGCUGUCAAGUCUGGGGUGAAAUGCCGCGGCUCAACCGUGGAACUGCCUUAGAUACUGACGGCCUCGAGGAAGGUAGGGGCAUGCGGAACUGUAGGUGGAGCGGUGAAAUGCGUUGAUAUCUACAGGAACUCCGGUGGCGAAAGCGGCGUGCUGGACCUUUUCUGACGCUGAGGCGCGAAAGCUAGGGGAGCAAACGGG